CCUACGGGAGGCAGCAGUGGGGAAUUUUGGACAAUGGGGGCAACCCUGAUCCAGCCAUUCCGCGUGAGUGAAGAAGGCCUUCGGGUUGUAAAGCUCUUUCGCAAGGGAAGAAACGAUACAAGCGAAUAACUUGUGUUAAUGACGGUACCUUGAUAAGAAGCACCGGCUAACUACGUGCCAGCAGCCGCGGUAAUACGUAGGGUGCAAGCGUUAAUCGGAAUUACUGGGCGUAAAGCGUGCGCAGGCGGUUUUGUAAGUCAGAUGUGAAAUCCCCGAGCUCAACUUGGGAACUGCGUUUGAAACUACAAGGCUAGAAUAUGUCAGAGGGGGGUAGAAUUCCACGUGUAGCAGUGAAAUGCGUAGAGAUGUGGAGGAAUACCAAUGGCGAAGGCAGCCCCCUGGGAUAAUAUUGACGCUCAUGCACGAAAGCGUGGGGAGCAAACAGGAUUAGAUACCCUGGUAGUCCACGCCCUAAACGAUGUCUACUAGUUGUUGGUGGAGUAAAUCCAUGAGUAACGCAGCUAACGCGUGAAGUAGACCGCCGNGGGAGGUACGGUCGCGAGAGUAAACUACGAAGAAGUAGACGCGUGAGACGUGACGACGACGACGACGAGGGAGGAGG
Molecule: ribosomal RNA, 622 nt
Filed under: uncultured bacterium
Lineage: Bacteria
Description: bacterial SSU rRNA
Rfam family: Bacterial small subunit ribosomal RNA (bases 1-543)
Source: RNAcentral